AUUGAACGCUGGCGGCGUGCUUAACACAUGCAAGUCGAUCGGUAACAGGUGUAGCAAUACAUGCUGACGAGAGGCGGACGGGUGAGUAAUGCUUGGGAAUCUGCCUAUUAGUGGGGGACAACCCGGGGAAACUCGGGCUAAUACCGCAUACGCUCUACGGAGGAAAGCCGGGGACCGCAAGGCCUGGCGCUAAUAGAUGAGCCCAAGUCGGAUUAGCUAGUUGGUAGGGUAACGGCCUACCAAGGCGACAAUCCGUAGCUGGUCUGAGAGGACGACCAGCCACACCGGAACUGAGACACGGUCCGGACUCCUACGGGAGGCAGCAGUGGGGAAUAUUGGACAAUGGGGGCAACCCUGAUCCAGCGACGCCGCGUGGGUGAAGAAGGCCUGCGGGUUGUAAAGCCCUUUCGGUGGGGAAG
This 419-nucleotide ribosomal RNA is filed under the name uncultured bacterium. RNAcentral describes it as "bacterial SSU rRNA". It matches the Rfam family "Bacterial small subunit ribosomal RNA", at positions 29 to 447 of the family's 1533-position model. The record is from RNAcentral.